UACGUAGGGGGCAAGCGUUGUCCGGAUUUAUUGGGCGUAAAGAGCGUGUAGGCGGCCUUACAGGUCAGCUGUGAAAACUCGAGGCUCAACCUCGAGACGUCGGUUGAAACCGUAAGGCUAGAGUCCGGAAGAGGAGAGUGGAAUUCCCGGUGUAGCGGUGAAAUGCGCAGAUAUCAGGAAGAACACCCGUGGCGAAGGCGGCUCUCUGGGACGGUACUGACGCUGAGACGCGAAAGCGUGGGGAGCGAACAGG
This 253-nucleotide ribosomal RNA is filed under the name uncultured bacterium. Its description in RNAcentral is "partial 16S ribosomal RNA". It matches the Rfam family "Bacterial small subunit ribosomal RNA", at positions 524 to 776 of the family's 1533-position model. The record is from RNAcentral.